This is a long non-coding RNA of Xiphophorus hellerii (green swordtail), 1214 nucleotides long. RefSeq lists it as uncharacterized. Lineage: Eukaryota; Metazoa; Chordata; Actinopteri; Cyprinodontiformes; Poeciliidae. The transcript has 3 exons. The record is from RefSeq and is a predicted model, not a curated record.
AAUACUUGUCCUUAACAAUAAAUGCAGCAGGUAUCUUCAGUUUUACAUCGCUCCGAAUAUGAUCUGUUGUUUUCAGUUUUUUAACUUAAACACGGAAGCUGUGUUUACCCAAACCAUUUUCAAAUAUGAUGUAAGAUCUAUUAUUGAACGGCAUUAGCUGCAGUUCACACUCCAGACCAGAUGGUGGCGGUAUUGCACACUUUCAGUAUUUUUGAAAAGCGCCAUUAAAAGAAGGAAAGCCAUGUAGCCAUAGAAGAUAACAGACGCUGUUCAAAUUCGUCACUUUUACUCGCAUAAUAUUUCCUUAAAAGUAGAGAGGGCCUUGAUAAAAGUUAGUAGUUUUGGUACAUUCGAGCUGGUGACGUCAUAGCCCGAGUUAGACGACAACACAACAGGACAAGAACCGAUGGAAAUGAAAUGUGGGUCACGAAAGGAGCCCGAAGGGACGAAGGCUGCUAACGUGUUGCUAGCUGGUGUCUAAGCAAAUGAAGACGAAAGAGGAAGCCAGAAAUCAGGUAUUAGAAAACCUUCUCAGAAGAGGCCCUGGCUCCACCAGAUCACCAACCAGUUCAGAGGAUGAAGCUCCACAUCGUCUUCAUGGUGCAAGUCUGUUUUCACUGAGCAGCUGGCUACAUUUUCAACAGCAAAAACUGGUGUGUUAUCAACACUAAGUGCUGAAUAAACAUGAUUGAUUUAAAAAUAACUGGACAGAAUUUAUUCCCCUUGUUAAUCUACCAUUUCUCUUUCAUACAUUUUAUUUGUUGUUGGCUUUCAGGGCCCUGUGACGGACUGGCGACCUGUCCAGGGUGAAGCCCGCCUCUCAUCUGAUGACUGCUGGAGAUGGGCACCACCAGCCCCCCUCCCCACUUCAAGGAUCAGCGUGUUCAGAUCAUGGAUGGAAAGCUUUUAAGGAAAAGAAGUCACACAGAAAUGGUUUUCCACCCCAGGCAUCUGGUCCCAAUCAUCAUCAGUUCUGAUGAUGUCGCAUACAUAGCGAGUCCACAACGUCUUAAAAUUGUAAGUCUUAUUUUUUCUUUGCCGUUUUUCUGUACUCUUUAAAAUGCAAGUGCUUUCUCUGUUUAAUUGCUCUAUUGUUGUUUUUUGUAGGUUUCUGUAAAGUGCAGUGAGUGGGAAUGUUCUGUCGUAGAUCCUCACUGUUCUUAGGAAGGAGAAAUGUCAGUUUGUCUGGAGUAAUACUGGAAUACUGUGACAUU